UACAGAGGGUGCAAGCGUUAAUCGGAAUUACUGGGCGUAAAGCGCGCGUAGGUGGUUUGGUAAGUCGGAUGUGAAAUCCCCGGGCUCAACCUGGGAACUGCAUUCGAAACUGCCUGACUAGAGUGUGUCAGAGGGGGGUGGAAUUCCACGUGUAGCAGUGAAAUGCGUAGAUAUGUGGAGGAACACCAAUGGCGAAGGCAGCCCCCUGGGAUAACACUGACGCUCAUGUACGAAAGCGUGGGUAGCAAACAGG
RNAcentral lists this ribosomal RNA (253 nucleotides) under uncultured bacterium. RNAcentral describes it as "partial 16S ribosomal RNA". It matches the Rfam family "Bacterial small subunit ribosomal RNA", at positions 524 to 776 of the family's 1533-position model. The record is from RNAcentral.